GAUGAACGCUGGCGGCGUGCUUAACACAUGCAAGUCGAACGGAAAGGCUCCUGCUUGCAGGGGUACUCGAGUGGCGAACGGGUGAGUAACACGUGGGUGAUCUGCCCUGCACUUCGGGAUAAGCCUGGGAAACUGGGUCUAAUACCGGAUAGGACCACAUUUUGGAUGGUGUGGUGGAAAGUUUUUCGGUGUGGGAUGAGCUCGCGGCCUAUCAGCUUGUUGGUGGGGUAAUGGCCUACCAAGGCGUCGACGGGUAGCCGGCCUGAGAGGGUGUACGGCCACAUUGGGACUGAGAUACGGCCCAGACUCCUACGGGAGGCAGCAGUGGGGAAUAUUGCACAAUGGGCGCAAGCCUGAUGCAGCGACGCCGCGUGGGGGAUGACGGCCUUCGGGCUGUAAACUCCUUUCGCUAGGGACGAAGCGUUUUUGUGACGGUACCUGGAGAAGAAGCACCGGCUAACUACGUG
This 467-nucleotide ribosomal RNA is filed under the name uncultured bacterium. RNAcentral describes it as "partial 16S ribosomal RNA". It matches the Rfam family "Bacterial small subunit ribosomal RNA", at positions 28 to 507 of the family's 1533-position model. The record is from RNAcentral.